This 492-nucleotide ribosomal RNA is filed under the name uncultured bacterium. Its description in RNAcentral is "partial 16S ribosomal RNA". It matches the Rfam family "Bacterial small subunit ribosomal RNA", at positions 29 to 507 of the family's 1533-position model. The record is from RNAcentral.
AGUGAACGCUGGCGGUAGGCCUAACACAUGCAAGUCGAACGGCAGCACAGUAAGAGCUUGCUCUUACGGGUGGCGAGUGGCGGACGGGUGAGGAAUACAUCGGAAUCUACUUUUUCGUGGGGGAUAACGUAGGGAAACUUACGCUAAUACCGCAUACGACCUACGGGUGAAAGCAGGGGAUCUUCGGACCUUGCGCGAUUGAAGGAGCCGAUGUCGGAUUAGCUAGUUGGCGGGGUAAAGGCCCACCAAGGCGACGAUCCGUAGCUGGUCUGAGAGGAUGAUCAGCCACACUGGAACUGAGACACGGUCCAGACUCCUACGGGAGGCAGCAGUGGGGAAUAUUGGACAAUGGGCGAAAGCCUGAUCCAGCCAUACCGCGUGGGUGAAGAAGGCCUUCGGGUUGUAAAGCCCUUUUGUUGGGAAAGAAAAGCAGCAGGUUAAUACCCCGCUGUUCUGACGGUACCCAAAGAAUAAGCACCGGCUAACUUCGUG